UCUGGAGGAUUGAGCAAAACCCUAGCUCAUUCCGGAGCUCUACUACAAAAGAAAUGGAUAACCUCACAUCGAUUCUUCCAAAUCAAAGAUUGAUUGGGAUUGGGUGGUAUUGGAAAAUAUCAUAUAUUUUACCAUAACAUUGGUGGUAAUGAAAUUGGGGUAUGAGGAAAAUUUCAACUAAAAUGGAAUUCCCUGAUCUGGUUGAUCAUUCAGGUGAUGUUCCAACAAUGUUUUAUAUAUGCUUCACUUUACAAUGUUUAGACAUUGGAUAUAUGUGAUGUUAUGUUUGGUUGAUUGAUUGAAAUUUAUCCAGUUUUUGGUGCAUUUGGUAGUGGUACUCUCCAAGUGUUUGACAAAAUGUAUAGUUAGAGUAUAACAGUUAGUCUGUUGUUUCAAAUUGGAUAUAUAUGUAAUGUUAUGUUUGGUUGAUUGAUUGAAGUUUAUCGAAGUAUAAGUUUUUGCCUUUUAGGUGCUUUUGGUACUCUCCAAGUGUUUUGACAAAUAUAUAGUUAGAGUAUAACAGUUAGACUGUUGUUUGAUAUUUGGUUGUGAAAAAUCAAAAAAAGAGAUUUUUAGUGCUUUUCAUGUACUCUAGGGUUUAAACAAAUUCAGAACUGUGUUAAAUGUCUAAAUGGGGUACUAAAGGUGACUAUGACUACCAGUGGUUGGGAACUUCGAAUGUCAUGUGCACUUUAGAGUUUAGACUCAUAGGUGCUUCGAGUCUGACUCUCCUUUGUAACUGUUUUGUUGUUUCAUGUUUGCACGAGAGUUGAGAAUUGUAGACUAAUGAGCUGCAUUGUUCUUGAAACUUAUCCUGAUUAAGUUAAUUUGAUUCGACUUCAGAGGUUUCGUUGAUGGUUUUUAUUUUGUCAAACUAAAUGAAUUAUAUGUUUGUUGAAGAUGUACUCUCCUCUCCUCAGACAUACAACAUGGUAAAGUUCUUGGUUAUUUGAUAUUGAGAUGUUCUUAUGUAUAGGGACAAACCAUCACACCAAAGCAGAGCUUGAGUAGCCUCACUGACAGGGCGAAUAUAUCUACAAUUCACUGGUUGCCACCCAUACUGACGACCAUGGCAGAUCAGGAACGCACUAUAGGCACCCACAUUGAUGAGGGAAAUGAGCUGGGGUGGUGGGAGCUAACAAAACGACAACAAGUUUUGACAGCUGUUCCUAAUAUGAUCAUAUUCGGGACACUAUUUCAUCCGGGUGGUUUAUCCCUAUAGCCCAAGGCAGAGUGGGUGACCGCACAGCUACUGAAGAUGACUACGAAUGGUUGGGAUAUGAUGUCCACUUGGAACCCACAGGUGCUUCAAGUCUGACUCUAUUUUGUAACUGCUUUGUUGUUUCAUGUUUGUUUGAGAGUUAAGAAUUAGACUAUGAGCUGAAUUGUUCUUGAAACUUAGCUUUUAUAGCCAUGAUUUUGUUUUUUAUGGAUUUUACUGCAAAAGUUUACGUGAAUGAUGAUGAAUAAAGCUAAAAGAAAAAGAACAAACAAAACAUAAAGAGAACAAUGAACAAGACAUUUUGAAUUUAAUUUUACUUGAAAGGAGUUUGGUUUUUAUUUUGUCUCUGUAUUAGGGCUAGUUUGUUCAAAUUUGUUUUAUAGUCUUCCGUUUGGUGCAUAACUCAUUGUCUCAUUGUGCUAUAAUAACCCAGCUGUAUCACUAUUCUGUGAGUCUUAUUGUUCUUCAAUUAAAUGCCACUAGUGCAUCAAAAAUUAAGAUGAUAGAAUAAAUCAUCUGGGCACUUUUGCAUUACCGGCUACUUGUCCUAUAAAGUAUUGCAUGCAAUGGCGUUGUAAGGAAACCUACUGCUGACAUAAAAUAACCGCAGUCCCAACUCUGAUCCCAUAUGUCAAAAGAGCCUGUCGCACAAUUGCACUGUCAAGCUGCAUGCAACUAUACUAAUUUUUUUUUUCUUACAGUUUGCUACUUAGCUGAUUUGAGAAACAGCUUAAUUAUGUCUGUGCAGAAAAUUACCGAUUCAACCAAUAAUAAGUUAUACCCCCCCGGUGGAGUUAUAACAGUUGGAUAUUGCAUUAUGACCACCAGCUUUGAGGGUUGCACAUCUGGUCAUCCUCACGGUAAUCUUCAAUACUUCUCAGUUCUCAGAUUACUCUUGAACAUCUUGUUAUAGUGGAUCAUGUCCUAGAGACCCAGACAUGGUUUGCUGAUUAUGGCUGCUAGGGGUGAACAGUUGACCUUAUUUUGUAAAGGUGAUAUUACAUGAAGUGAUAGGUAGUGAAAUUGUGGACUUCCCUAUAGGUCGGAUCUGUAUUGUUCAUGUAUAGACCAUGUACUUGCAUACACAUUAUUAUUGAAGUGUAUAAACUCACCUUGAAGUCAUGAUAUUGGAGAGGUUUGCCUCCAUGGGUUUUAUAUAAAUAUAGGUAUAGAAAGUGUAAGUUCCCUAGAAUCGUUUUUGGUUUUAGUAUUGAAAUAGAAAUAUUCCAAAUUUAUUUUGGGAUGAGUGGUAUCGAGAAAACUAUAUGAUAAUCUACUAGUCCCUAUGUUUUAACCCAAGUAUUUCGACUAAUGGAUGCACUGCACAUUCACAAAGCAGAACAACAUCUGCAACAAUCUAAUGGUUGGGUGUUAAAGUUUUUAUGCAUUAUCAUCAGCUUAAUCAAUCGGUCUGUAUUUUCAUUGCGGACUCGCUCACCCCAUUUAUAAACAAAAAGCAAAUACACCAUUUAAUUCAGUAAUUUUAUGAAUUUUUUUUUUUUUUUUUUUUUACUACAAGCAACUUUUGUGAUAUAUCUAGGGGUUAUUUUGUAUUUGGUCCCUCUAGAAGAUUGGCAAUUAGCAUCUGGUCCAGACAUUAUUGUUUAUUAGCAAAUGGUCCCAAAAUCGUUACUUGACUGUCGGUCAACGUAGUUAACUCGAGUCCACACAUCUAUAUUUUUUUAAUAUCAAUACUACCCUUUCACAUGUAUAGCUCGUGCCACCAACUUAAAACUCACACCUAAUUCUAUAUUGUACCAUCCACGUGCCAAUUAAUCUAACUCCAUCUAACGGUCUACAUUGAAACCCCCACAUCUUUAUUUUUUUCUUUUUCUUGUACAAUUUGAUGGUCGACUAAUAGUAACUUGAGUAAGAACUAAUCUUCCAUCUUCUUCUCCAUCCUUCAACAACAUCUAAACCCCUAAGCUUUAAAACAUUUUCUUCUUCUUUUUCUUUAACUCCUUCAUUUUCAUCAAAAAAGCAUUUGUUUCUUUUAUCUAUUCCUGGUUCUGUUACUCUUCUUCUCUUCCCCAUCAUCAAUUUACCUCAUUUUCCAUUGUUUUUCCUGAAUUUGACCCUGUAACUCUUGAAGAGAAAGAUGCCAGUGCUUCUGUGUCGGGACGGGUAUUGAAAGCUAUUGAGUUACUUAAUAAAUGAAGAUAAUUUCAAACUCGUGGUGACUAUACUGGUGCUCUAAAUUAGUUGGAACUUCCUCCACACUUUUUAGUAAUUAAAAUCUUGAUGUUUAUUGAUUGAUGGGGGUGGUUAUAUCUUUUUGACAUCCAAAUCUAUUGCCCAAUGGUCUGGAAUUUUCAUGGUUUACACUCUUUCUACAACAAUAGCCGUAAUAAACUGUUGACUAGGAUUUGAUAAUCAAACAAGGAAUCUGAUCAUCCACUCCAAUUACCAAUUCCUUCUACAGUACCCAUAUAUAAUUUACCAAGAAGAACCAAUUAUCAUCCAUAAAAUUACAAUUCCACCAAGGUUUCUUCAAGUUCUAUUCAAAGGGAAGGGAAGAAACAUGUGAAAAAAGAAGAAGGGCGAGAGAAAUCUGGUACGGUGAUGGGUUUUCAGAUUGAUUGAUUUAAUUUGGAGAAUUGGGGUUUCACUUGAAUUUUGAUGUUUUAAGAAGAAAUUGAUAUUAUCAUACAAUUUCUAAUCGAAGAUUAUUACCCUGACUUCAAUUGAGAUUUAUGGCUCCAUCAAUUGAAAGAGAAGAAAGAUGGGAAAGGAGACAUCAAAGAGAUACAUAACAGUAUAACACCAUUAUAUCUUUCAAUAGUGAUUUAAGUUUUAAGUUUGUUGUCACAUAGAAGGGUAGUAUCGACAUUAAAAAAAUAUGGACGUCUUGACUCGAGUCAACUGUAAUGACUGACAGUCAAGUAACGAUUUUAGGACUAUUUACUAAUAAAUGAUAAAGUUUGGAUUAGAUGCUAAUUACCAAUCUUCUAGAGGGACCAAAUACAAAAUAACCCUAUAUCUAGCCAUCUAGGUUUUAUUUUUUAUUUUUAAUAGUCAAUAUAUAAAUAGAAAACUAAGAGUCUUCCAAAUUACAUGAUAGAGUGUCUCUGUCCAACUGGUUUUGCAUCCAAGUAGGUGGAACCAAAAAGGUAACAGGCCAGAGAGUUUUUAUCUCUUUUACAAGCUAAGAUAUGAGCUAAACAGUUCCCCUCCCUAUUACAAUGCAUAAAAAAAAACUGAAGUGAAAUAAACAGAAUAUCUUUUUGAGCUUAUCAAGGAUGUUGAUUGCAGUCCGGCUUUGUUGAUUGCAAACUUGUAGGUACUCCUAUUAGAUAAUUUGCUGCUGCCAGAUUGUCAAUCUCUAUCUAGGUUAUGUACAUUAUAGAAUGAAUAUUGGUCUUGAACGCUUAAUAAAAAUUUUCGAAAAAGCCGCCGAUUUUAAACUCUAUCAAGAUUUAUGUAUUUUUCUACAUCUUUGUAUUUGAUUAUUGAGUUGUUAUCAAUUAUGUGAGGGCACAAAUUUGAUCAUGAUCCCCAAAAUUAAAAUUUGUAACCUAAUAAAAUUGUGUGUAGAAUAGGCUAUCUAUACAAACGCUUGCCAGUGCAAAAUCAACAAAUGCUUGGUCCAAGUCUGGCCCAGUGAAAGCCUUUUGUGGAAACUGCUACUAUAUUCGAGCUCGAUCCAAUUAGUCAAAAACCAUAAUCCACAUAACAACAAAAACCGUAGCUCAUUCUCAAAUCUCAACAAGUUGUUAAAUCACUUCGAGAAAGAAAGGGUGAUUUAAGUUUUAGUCACCGAACUUUAGUAUAAAUUAGGGUUCCUGACAGACCCAACAAUUAUAGUCCCUGCAACAUACACCUACAACUCUUCCACCAUUACAGUAUUCCAACCAUUCAGCAGAUUGCAAAAUUGUAUCUAUCAAACAAAUCAGAAACAAGAUUCUUGAUUUCGACAAAUAUAGAAGAAAGGUUGGUGGUGGUGGGUGUUAGUAAUCAACAAGGUUGGCGGUGGUUGGGUGUGGUUAGGUUUUUUCUUUGAGCAAGCGAUUAAUUGAAGUUAGUAAUUGAGGUAAUCUUUGAUGCAAGAGGAAGGGGGUGGACCAAGUUUACAACUCCCAUUGAUAAGCUUUUUUAUGUUGGAAUGAAAUUCAAAGUAGAACAAACUUUGAGAGGGCGAGAGCGAUGGUUUGGGGUUUAAUUGGGAGAGUGAAAGAUGAGAAAGAAAAGAAGCCAUAACUACUGGAGUUCUCCCCAUUCAAUUCAUUCAAGUUUUUUUUCAACUUCUUCAAGGUGUUUGAUGAAAUUCCACAAAGAAAAAAAAAUGAUUUUAGAUAGUAUAUAGGGAUGGAGAUUAAACAAGCAAUGGGGUUUGAGUGUACGACGUAUUGCACUAAAUUUAAUGAUAAUGGACGUGAAGUUGUAAUGGAUGAAGAAGAGAGAAGGUGGCGGUCGACAGUGGUGUUAUGGUGUAAUGGACGGUGGUGGUAGUCUGGUAGAUGAGUUGAAGAACAUUUCCAUGGCUUUUUAUUUUUUUAUUUUUUUAUUUUUUUGUUUUUUUGUUUUUUUGUUUUUUUAUUUUUAAAUCAGCAUGUGCAACACUUGUGACCUUUAUAGGGGUAUUUUAGCCAUUUUAAAAUAUUGUUUUAUUUAAUUUCCAGUUGAUCUCUGAACCUUAAUAAAGAAAAAAACCAUCCGUGAACCCUAAUUUAUACUAAAGUUUGGUGACUAAAACCUAAAUCACCCAGAAAGAAAAUCCUAGUUCCCUCAACAGUGAACUCCAACAACAAAAUGGAUGAAAAAGUUUGCAGAAGAUCGAUUGGAGUUAAACUCGAUUCUUCCAAGAAAAAAAUAGAUUAGGGUUGUGUGGUAUCAGAAAAUUUCAUAUAUUUUGUAGUCUUAAUGUAGGUCUUGGAUGGAUUGGAAUACACGUUGCCCCAUCCAGUGCUCACCAUCAUGGGUAAAGUUGUAGAAGGUUGUUUAAACAGAAGAUUUUUUUUUUUUUUUAACAAAAUGUCAUUGGAACAUAAAUUCAUCCAUCACGCUUGAUGAUUAUCCAAUAAUUUCUUUUUUGGGGACAUCAUACAUUGUAAGUAUUCUUUUAACACAUUACACUGUUUUAGUGAUUAGAUAUAUUCAAGGUUAUUUAUGGUUUAUUGAAAUUUAUCAAAUUUUAAGUUUUGGGGUGCCCUGCCUUCCGAGUGUUUGAUAAAAUGUGUAGUUAAGAGUCUAACGGUUAGACUGGUCUGUGAAAUUUGACUUUAGAGUUUUCAUUGAUUGUUCUAGAUUUACUCUCACCUCACAUGUAAUAAGGUUCUUAAUCACUGACAGGGUGAAUGUGAAUCUACUAAUCACUGCUUGCCACCUAAGUUAGUAACCAUGCCAGAUGAGGAUAACAUCAUAGACACCCACAUUGAUAAAGGAAAGGAGAUGGCACGGCGGAAGUUCACUUCAGGAGAACAGUUUGGAUGGUUGUUCAUGAUAUAGUCAUCAUCGGGCUACUUAAUGUCAUUAUCUUAUUGUUAUCUUGGUGUGUUAUGCCCAUACCACAAGGCAGAGUGAGUGACCACACAACUACUGAAGGUGAAUAUGCUUAUGGGUGGUUGGCAACUUGGAAUAUCAUGUUCACUUUAGACCCACAGGUGCUUCAAGUCUGACUCUCCUUUGUAACUGUUUUGUUGUUUCAUGUUUAUAUGAGAGAGAAUUUCAGACUAAUGAGCUGCAUUGUUCCAGAAACUUGGCUUUUAUCAAUACAUUGAUUAGCCAUUAAAGUGUUAUGUGUAUGUGUAUCAUUGCCAAAGCAAAAGAGAACGUUUAAAGCAUUCAUGAUGUGUUGUUAUAUUUUAAUGUU
This 7031-nucleotide long non-coding RNA is filed under the name Aquilegia coerulea. Its description in RNAcentral is "long non-coding RNA (ACOE_LNC001610)". Lineage: Eukaryota; Viridiplantae; Streptophyta; Magnoliopsida; Ranunculales; Ranunculaceae. The record is from RNAcentral.